GUCAAUUGUCCCUCUAAGCCAAGUUUUGAAGAAUAUGAACUCCCCUUCUCUUGAGCCCUGUAUCCGUCCCAAUGGGAACCUGACAGCACCCGUUUUAAGGUGCUCCCCUCUGAGCAGAGGUGGGGCCGGCAAUUUCCUACCAAAUUUAUCUUCAGUGCCUGUAGACAGAAACUUCUAUUUGCCUCCCCACCCCCUGCCAGGUGAACUCCAACACUUCUCCUUAGCCUCACUUGGUAAUGAACGUACCCAUGUGCUGCAAACAACCUUUGUGCUGUUUUCUGGCCCGGAAGAAAACUCUUUUAGUGUCUAAUUCCUGGCCGGCCCUCUCUCCCUCCCUGCCUCAUUUCCCCUUCUCCCAGCUGGCUGACCCCCCACCCCCCUUCCUGGCAGCCGGCUGGGCGGUGCGUGCCCCUGGCCUCUGGCCUCUGGAGAAAAGAGACCUCAUCACCUACCUCGAUUAGACCUUGUAAAAACGAACAGGAACCUACCCCAAACACAAAUAUCUCAGCUAUUUAUUAUUUUUGAGUGCUCACCAUUGUUUUUCUCUCUUUCUUACGCUUUUUCUACAGCUGUGAAAUUGGAUAUGCCAUACAACAUGCUCUUCGGCUGGUCAGGAAACAAAGAAUUUAAACUUCAUGAGGAUGUGAUUUUUGACUGUUGGGCUCAUGGCUAUCUUCUCACCAUCUAGAGCUAGCUGUUCCUGGCACAUAAAUAUUUGUGGACUGAAUAAGUGAUGGAUGCCUGUUUUUGGAAAGAGUACAGAUCUGUGUGGCUGGAAGGAUCACUGACAGUGAGAACAUCAGGCACCAUGGGCUUCUCACAUGAUAUCCACAUGGUUACAUGGCCUGUGCUCCAGUCCCCAACAGGGGGUGGCACUUGGAGUGAAAUGGAAAAACCUCUGUGUCCUACCACUGUUCUAGAGGAGAAGGCUCUGACUCCCCAGAGGGACAGAAGAGCUGCCAGCCAGGACCCUGCAGGCCUGAGUGGCAAUGCCCCGGACAGAUGCUCGUGGACAUCCUGUCCAACUCAGCAAGCCUGGGGGAAGCUGGGACCGGUCAGCGGGUCAGCCAGGAGGAUAAUGGUCAAGUCUACCUGGCCUCGGGGCAAAUUCCUGGGGAAAGGGAGAGGCUAGCGGGUGAGAGAACUCAACUCAAGGGAGUCUUCUGGCUCAGAAUCUCUUUUUGAGGCUCAGAACACAGGUGCUCAAGCCCCACACCUAGAGAUUCUGAGGUGAGGUCAGGGCUCCCGUGUAUCUUUGUUUAAGUCCCACAGGUACGCAGAUUCUCUUGUACUUGUACUCUGUGAUCUGUGCCAUUUGGCAGGAACUAUCAGAAUUUUAAACGUUUAUGCCCUUUGACCUAGUAAUUUCACUUCUAAGAAUUUCCUCUACAGCGAUACGGGUGUACCCUGCGAAAUGAAGAGGCUCUGAAGAUAGGCGAUGCAGCCUUGUUUGUAAUAGCAAAGACUAGAAACAACCCACAUGUGCAGAAAGGUUCUGAUUUUUAAAAACUGUGGUCCGGCCAAACAACGACUGCUCUGUGUCUUUUUUAAAAAGACAGAGGAAGUGCUCUGGGGACUGAUGUGGAACGAUGUCCAAGAUUUAUUUGUGAAGUUAGGAAAAGUAAAGAGGAGGACAGUGUGCAGAGCAUGCUACCCUUUGUACGAUCUGAGGUUGUGUAGGCACAUGCCAUCUCGUCAGAAAUUUGGAACAACGGUCGCCUCUGGAAAGGGAACUGGAUGGCUGGGGAACGGGAACAGGAGGGACGCUUGCUUUCCGGAGCAUUUUAUACCUUAUAUAUCUACUUAAAAGAUAGGAGAAAAGGGAGAGCUUCAGAGUAGUCCUGCUGUUCACAAAGAUUAAGAACCAACGUGAAGGAAGGGGAGGCGUGUCUCUGAAAAGACAAAAGACCAUUCCGCUGAGGGUGAAAACAUUUGCCCCCCCGGGGGCAGGAAUGGGUGGGCACCAGCCAGGAACAGAGGGCUAGUCUGGAGUACACACAGCUAGGCUGAAGCAAUCAUGCACGGGAGUCUGGUUCUGAUUCACUGAGUUGACCCAAAAGACGCUAACUUCCCUUCUCUUGGAUCUCAUUGCCCUUUGGACAGUGAGCCGUGGUUCUAGCCCUUGAUUCUGACCGCAACUUUCUUCAAAUCCGGCGGUUUUUCUCUGUCCAAGUCUCGUCUUUGGCUUCCUUUCUGCCUCCUCUGGCCUGAAACCUUUCUCUUAGCAUAUCCACUCUACCUUGAGUAGCCUGAUUUUGCAGAUAAGCUCUUACCCAGAUGGCAGCGGUUCCAACAUCCCAUGUGACAAUGCUCCCUGGUGUCCCAUUCACAGAAUUUCCCACCCCCUCCUCCCUUUUCCUGCACACAGCUCUUAGUCAAUCCCCUGGAGCUGCCUCCAACUCUUUGCUGGUAUCUGUUCCCGGCAACUUUUUUCUUCGCCAGCACAUCCUGCCUUAAAUUCUUAGUUUCUUGAAACAGAGCCUAUUAAGGCUUCAAAACACGAUUUUUCUGAUCUCACAGUUCAUAAAAAAGCUUCUUUUCCUUCCCUCAUCCCAACCUUCCUUUCUGCAUGUCCAUUACAUACCGCCCUGGCCUGAGUGCAAAACAAUCUCUCAGGGCACACGUGAAGAGACUUCAUGUCCACGUUCGCAGUGAACUGUGGCUUCUGCUUUCCAGAUGGACUUACUCUGAACCAACACAUAUUUCUAGGAUGUAGUAUUUAAAUGCACAGGCUCUACAUUCAAACUCCCCACGUUUUAAUUCUUUCUUUGCCAGCUGCAUGAUUAGAUGUGAGACCUUGAGAAAAUUACUUUACUUCCCUGGGCCUCAUUUUUCUAAUAUGUAAAAUGGGGGAAAGAACAUUUGUCUUACAGGGAUGUUGUGAGGAUAAAAGAAGAUGUAAAUAAAAUGCUGACUGCAGAACCCGGCCUAUAUUAAGCUCUCAAAAAACAACACCUGGGGCGCCUGGGUGGCUCAGGCAGUUGAGCGUCCGACUUCAGCUCAGGUCAUGAUCUCGCAGUCUGUGAGUUCGAGCCCCGCGUCGGGCUCUGUGCUGACAGCUCAGAGCCUGGAGCCUGCUUCUGAUUCUGUGUCUCCCUUUCUCUCCGCCCCUCCCUGAUUCAUGCUCUCUUUCUGUCUCAGAAAUAAACAUUUUAAAAAAACCCAAAAAAACCUGUUUUAUUAUUGUUACAACUGAUUUGGCUUUAGAACUUUCUUCUAGACUAUGUUCACUGGUUUUAUACCUGAAUGCUAGCGUUAUUAUAUGAGCCUAAUGAAUGAAGACCAUAUCUUCUUAACCAAUAUAUAUAUAUAUAUUUAUGGCACAUUCGAUAUGCAUGGCCUCUUGUCUUAAAAAGAGCUGGGCCAGACAGGGUAUGUCCUAUAACUUUCCCAUUCCUAUUUCACAGAGGGAUAGAGAUACAUUAAGUAGCUCUUCCAAAGUCACAGCUGAAUCUAGCCUAUAGAUCUCCGAGAUCUUUCCAUUAAACCACAUAGAUCAGGAGCAAACUUUUUCCGUAAAAGUCCAGAGAGUAAAGAGUUCACGCUUUAUGGACCACAGAUGGUCUCUGUCUCAUACUCUUGCUUAUUUAAAGAAUUCGUUUUUAAGCAACACUUUAAAAAUACAAAAGCCAUUUUUAGCAGUAUGCUGUAGCAAAAACAGACUAUGGGUCACAUUUGGCCUGAGGGUUAUAGUUUACCAAUGGCUGAUACAGAUUACACUGAUAAAAUACAAAGAAACCUUCCCUUUUAUUAGUAGUAACUGCUAAUAUUUGUUGAAUGUUUACUAUGUGUCAAAUAUUGUUCCAAGUGCUUUACAUGUAUUAACUUAUUUCAUCCUCACAGCUACCUUAUUUGGUAGGUAUGAUUGUCAACCUCAUUUUACAGAUGGGGAAACUGAGACACAGGGAGGUUAAGUGACUUUCCCAAGGUCAUAUGUCCAGCAAGCAGCACAGACAGGAUUCAAAUCCAAGCAGUUCAGCACCAGAACCCGUGCACUUAACAAUCUGUUUCUUGGUUAAGAACCCUGACUUUGAAGGGUGGGGGAGGGGAUUGGAGCAGCUGAGUAACCCCUGGAAGCUUCUGGAAUGAAUAUGUUUCAGACUCUUCACCUUGAAGCUAAGGAGGCGUGGAUACGGGCCACCUGUGUUUUAUAAAGGAUUACCGGGCGGGAAACCUGUGGUGGCUUUCCUUCAUUCCAGUACAAUAGAGGACAUGGAUGAGGACUGCAGAGGCAUCUUGAUUUGAGAAAAGCACUUGAUUGGAUCUCAUUAAAUUUUAAUCAUAAACUGAAUUCAAAAUAAAUUGAAAACUGGUUGACAGAGCACAAACAAAGGGUGAUGAUAAAUGGUGAUGCAUCUAGAGAGGGGAUAUCUUCCAGGGGACGCCUCUGAGGCAAGGACGGAUGGGAUUUAAUGAAGGUGUUAUGUCCCUGGAAGAAGACAAAUAGACAGCGAGAAACAGAGGAAGGGCAGGAGUGAGCAGCCUGAGUAAUUAAUAAACCACAUUACCAGCUCCUAAAUAAUCAAGGCUUGCUGUUCACCAACCACGUGGAUUUUUUUUUUUUUUUUAAAGAAUUCUUUGGGUCAACAAUAGUCUUGAAGAGUCCUAGAGGCACACACCAUGAAUAUUUCAGGUGGACGUAAUAAAUAUAUAC
This is a long non-coding RNA of Panthera uncia (snow leopard), 4654 nucleotides long. RefSeq lists it as uncharacterized. Lineage: Eukaryota; Metazoa; Chordata; Mammalia; Carnivora; Felidae. The record is from RefSeq and is a predicted model, not a curated record. The transcript has 3 exons.